GGGAGGGGGAGGAAAAGUUAUUUGUAUUUGAUAAACUGAUAAAAAUAAAAGCCGAUACUUUACACACAUGCUAAGGCUUUGCUUAAUUGAAAGCUUAUUAUUUCCUGGAGGCCUGAAGUGCUUCAGCUGAGGACUGAAGGGUGGAGCAGAGCUUCAUUAGCAGCCCCAGCUGCCACCUGGGAUGGGGAGUGUGAAAUGGCAGCAGGAACCGCAGUGCUCUGCCAGCUUCCCUCGGCUCCGCUUUGGAUUAAAGCAACCAGAACUGCAGGAAAGCGGAGCAGAAUUCUGCAGCGUCUGACUAAAGAGAGAACUUUGCGCAUGGGGCCAAAGAAAUACAUUUGCUAUUCUUAUGGCACCUUGCAGCCCAAGCAACCAAGUCCUACCAGCUGAAGAGACCAGACCGUGUUUGGCUGGGGGACCGUCCGGCCAACUUGGCAAGUGGUGGACAUGUGAAGAGGGGCAAAAGAAUAAUCGCUUUUUCCUCACCUCAGUGCUGAGUGAAUAAAUAGAAACAGUUACCAACGCACCCUGUCCUUCCUUCCAUCAAAAAACAAAGACAAAAACCAAAACAAAACAGGGUUUAUUUGCACUCCUGUAAUGAUAUCCGUCUGGGAGAACAACCAAGGUGUCAGAGUAUCAAAGUGAAAUUCAGAAAAGUCAAGAGCAAGUAGGGACUUGAAGGGGCAAAACGGAAGUCGGAAAAAAACCACGCCGGUCUUUAUCAUGGUAAUAGUAAUGAAGGCGAGCUGAAAAAGCCCAGACAAUGGGCUGAGUUACUGUACUAUAAACCGCUUCCUGCCGCUGGGCUUCACAAGUCACUUUCCUGAGCUGAUUAGGGAGCUGCAGAGCCUCUCCGUUGUGUCUGAGCCCUGGGGAAGCUUGCCGAGCCGUAGGGUUUUUGUCUCUCAGAAUUCUUGGUUUAUUUCUGAGAAAUGAAAGAGGAGACUGAAGAAGGGAUCUGCGUUCUUUGGUUUACUGUUCGCAGAUGAGGGGGGUGUUUGAACGGGCAAAACAACAUCGCUUCUGCAGAGAGCCGCUCCGCGGGGGGCUGAGCCUCCUAUGCCGGCUGCUGUGUGUGCCGGCCGCGCUUGGUGCAAGACGUAGCGUUCCGAUUUCUACUGCAGGCCUCCCCUCUCUCCAAGUCCUCAGCUGUUCUGUGCUGGGAACGCUGGAGAAGGACGUGAGCCCGGUUCCCAAAGCGUUCGGUGAGAAAUAAGUUCACAGCCCAGGCUCCAGCAGCACGGGAGAUUGCUUUCUGUGAAGCUGCCUUGUAAGUUUGCUGCCUCUGUGUAUGCAUAUCCCUUCAGGGGAUCUAGCCCUUCAAGGGAGCAAUCAGGCUUCUAAUCAAUUAG
RNAcentral lists this long non-coding RNA (1352 nucleotides) under Gallus gallus (chicken). RNAcentral's name for it is "lncRNA (ENSGALG00010006925.1)". Lineage: Eukaryota; Metazoa; Chordata; Aves; Galliformes; Phasianidae. The record is from RNAcentral.